AGCAGCCGCGGUAAUUCCAGCUCCAAUAGCGUAUAUUAAAGUUGUUGCAGUUAAAAAGCUCGUAGUUGAAUUUCGGGAUCAGUACGCUGGUCAUGCCUUUGGUAUGCACUGGUGUCACUGGUUUCUCCCUUCUGAAGAUCCGUGAUGUCAUUAAUUUGGUGUCGCGGGGAAUCAGGACUGUUACUUUGAAAAAUUAGAGUGUUUAAAGCAGGCUCACGCUUGAAUACAUUAGCAUGGAAUAAUGAAAUAGGACGUUUGACCCUAUUUUGUUGGUUUCUAGGAUCGACGUAAUGAUUAAUAGGGAUAGUUGGGGGCAUUAGUAUUCAAUUGUCAGAGGUGAAAUUCUUGGAUUUAUUGAAGACUAACUACUGCGAAAGCAUUUGCCAAGGAUGUUUUCAUUAAUCAAGAACGAAAGUUAGGGGAUCGAAGACGAUCAGAUACCGUCGUAGU
RNAcentral lists this ribosomal RNA (450 nucleotides) under uncultured Glomus. RNAcentral describes it as "SSU rRNA". It matches the Rfam family "Eukaryotic small subunit ribosomal RNA", at positions 569 to 1024 of the family's 1831-position model. The record is from RNAcentral. Lineage: Eukaryota; Fungi; Glomeromycota; Glomeromycetes; Glomerales; Glomeraceae.